UACGGGAGGCAGCAGUGGGGAAUAUUGCACAAUGGGGGAAACCCUGAUGCAGCAACGCCGCGUGAAGGAAGAAGGCCUUCGGGUUGUAAACUUCUGUCCUAGGGGAAGAAACAAAUGACAUUACCCUUGGAGGAAGCCCCGGCUAACUACGUGCCAGCAGCCGCGGUAAU
Molecule: ribosomal RNA, 170 nt
Filed under: uncultured Eubacterium sp.
Lineage: Bacteria; Bacillati; Bacillota; Clostridia; Eubacteriales; Eubacteriaceae
Description: partial 16S ribosomal RNA
Rfam family: Bacterial small subunit ribosomal RNA
Source: RNAcentral